Molecule: ribosomal RNA, 497 nt
Filed under: uncultured bacterium
Lineage: Bacteria
Description: partial 16S ribosomal RNA
Rfam family: Bacterial small subunit ribosomal RNA
Source: RNAcentral
GAUGAACGCUGGCGGCGUGCCUAAUACAUGCAAGUCGAGCGAACAGACGAGGAGCUUGCUCCUCUGACGUUAGCGGCGGACGGGUGAGUAACACGUGGAUAACCUACCUAUAAGACUGGGAUAACUUCGGGAAACCGGAGCUAAUACCGGAUAAUAUAUUGAACCGCAUGGUUCAAUAGUGAAAGACGGUUUUGCUGUCACUUAUAGAUGGAUCCGCGCCGCAUUAGCUAGUUGGUAAGGUAACGGCUUAGCAAGGCAACGAUGCGUAGCCGACCUGAGAGGGUGAUCGGCCACACUGGAACUGAGACACGGUCCAGACUCCUACGGGAGGCAGCAGUAGGGAAUCUUCCGCAAUGGGCGAAAGCCUGACGGAGCAACGCCGCGUGAGUGAUGAAGGUCUUCGGAUCGUAAAACUCUGUUAUUAGGAAAGAACAAAUGUGUAAGUAACUAUGCACGUCUUGACGGUACCUAAUCAGAAAGCCACGGCUAACUACGUG